Molecule: ribosomal RNA, 253 nt
Filed under: uncultured bacterium
Lineage: Bacteria
Description: partial 16S ribosomal RNA
Rfam family: Bacterial small subunit ribosomal RNA
Source: RNAcentral
UACGUAGGGGGCGAGCGUUGUCCGGAUUUAUUGGGCGUAAAGGGCGUGUAGGCGGCCAGGUAGGUCUGCUGUGAAAACUCGAGGCUCAACCCUGGAACGCCGGUGGAUACUGUCGGGCUAGAGUCCGGAAGAGGCGAGUGGAAUUCCUGGUGUAGCGGUGGAAUGCGCAGAUAUCAGGAGGAACACCGAUGGCGAAGGCAGCUCGCUGGGACGGUACUGACGCUGAGGCGCGAAAGCGUGGGGAGCGAACAGG